UGCAAGUCGAACGCCCCGCAAGGGGAGUGGCAGACGGGUGAGUAACGCGUGGGAACAUACCCUUUCCUGCGGAAUAGCUCCGGGAAACUGGAAUUAAUACCGCAUAUCGCCCUACGGGGGAAAGAUUUAUCGGGGAAGGAUUGGCCCGCGUUGGAUUAGCUAGUUGGUGGGGUAAAGGCCUCACCAAGGCGACGAUCCAUAGCUGGUCUGAGAGGAUGAUCAGCCACAUUGGGACUGAGACACGGCCCAAACUCCUACGGGAGGCAGCAGUGGGGAAUAUUGCACAAUGGGCGCAAGCCUGAUCCAGCCAUGCCGCGUGAGUGAUGAAGGCCUUAGGGUUGUAAAGCUCUUUCACCAGGGAAGAAGCCAUAAGUGACGGUAUCCGGCAGAAGAAGCCCCGGCUAACUUCGUGCCAGCAGCCGCGGUAAUACGAAGGGGGCUAGCGUUGUCCGGAAUUACUGGGCGUAAAGAGCACGUAGGCGGAUAUUGUAACGUCAGGGGUGAAAUCCCAGGGCUCAACCCCGGAACUGCAGUGGAUACUGGGCAGACUAGAGUAUGGAAGAGGUAGACUGGAAUUCCUGAGUGUAGAGGUGAAAUGCGCAGAUAUUCAGGAGGAACACCAGAUGGCGAAGGCAGGCUCUACUGGGCCAUUACUGACGCUGAGGAGCGAAAGCAUGGGGAGCAAACAGGAUUAGAUACCCUGGUAGUCCAUGCCGUAAACGAUGAACAUUAGCCGUGGGGGACAGUACACUGUUCGCCGCGCCGUAGCUAACGCAUUAAACACCCCGCCUGGGGAGUACGGCCGCAAGGCUAAAACUCAAAGGAAUUGACGGGGGCCCGCACAAGCGGCGGAGCAUGCGGAUUAAUUCGAAGCAACGCGAAGAACCUUACCAAGCUCUUGACAUUCACCGGUACCGGCACUGGAGACGAGUGUCCUUCCCUUAGGCUGGCCCCUGGACAGGUGCUGCAUGGCUGUCGUCAGCUCGUGUCGUGAGAUGUUGGGUUAAGUCCCGCAACGAGCGCAACCCUCGCCCUUAUGUUGCCAGCACGUGAUGGUGGGGACUCUAUAGGAGACUGCCGGGGAUCAACUCGGAGGAAGGUGGGGAUGACGUCAAAUCAUCAUGCCCCUUAUGGUCUUGGGCUUCACGCAUGCUACAAUGGCCGGUGACAAAGGGUUGCGAUACUGUGAGGUGGAGCUAAUCCCAAAAAGCCGGUCUCAGUUCGGAUUGAGGUCUGCAACUCGACCUCAUGAAGUCGGAGUCGCUAGUAAUCGCAGAUCAGCAACGCUGCGGUGAAUACGUUCCCGGGCCUUGUACACACCGCCCGUCAAGUCACGAAAGUUGGUUACACCCGAAGCCGGUGCGCUACCCGCA
RNAcentral lists this ribosomal RNA (1373 nucleotides) under Rhizobium sp. RNAcentral's name for it is "bacterial SSU rRNA". It matches the Rfam family "Bacterial small subunit ribosomal RNA". Lineage: Bacteria; Pseudomonadati; Pseudomonadota; Alphaproteobacteria; Hyphomicrobiales; Rhizobiaceae. The record is from RNAcentral.